UACGGCCACAUAGCCUUGAAACACCGGUUUCCGUACGUUCACUGAAGUUAAGCAACAUCAAGCCAGGUUAGUACCUAGAUGGGUGAGCGCUUGGAAAUACCAAG
This is a non-coding RNA of Acanthosepion pharaonis, 104 nucleotides long. The record is from the annotation of a GenBank genome assembly. Lineage: Eukaryota; Metazoa; Mollusca; Cephalopoda; Sepiida; Sepiidae.